RNAcentral lists this small RNA (694 nucleotides) under Pan troglodytes (chimpanzee). RNAcentral's name for it is "processed transcript". Lineage: Eukaryota; Metazoa; Chordata; Mammalia; Primates; Hominidae. The record is from RNAcentral.
GAGCAGCUGGGAAGGGGUAUGAAAAUGAAGACAACUAUGCCAACAUUCGCUUCAGAUUCAUGGGCAUUGAGAACAUCCAUGUAAUGCGGAGCAGUCUGCAGAAACUCUUGGAAGUUUGUGAAUUGAAAACUCCAACAAUGAGUGAAUUUCUUAGCGGCCUGGAGAGCUCAGGGUGGUUAAGACACAUUAAAGCUAUUAUGGAUGCUGGAAUUUUCAUUACAAAGGCAGUGAAGGUAGAAAAGGCCAGUGUCUUAGUCCAUUGUUCUGAUGGAUGGGACCGCACAGCACAAGUCUGCUCAGUGGCUAGCAUCCUCCUAGAUCCAUUUUAUAGGACAUUCAAAGGACUCAUGGUGUGGCCACCUCGAUGGGGACUCUAAAGAAGUGUCCCCUAUCUUCACCCAGUUCCUAGACUGUAUCUGGCAAUUAAUGGAACAGUUUCCCUGUGCCUUUGAGUUUAAUGAAAACUUCCUGCUGGAGAUUCAUGACCAUGUUUUCUCCUGCCAGUUUGGAAACUUCCUUGGUAACUGCCAGAAGGAUCGGGAAGAUCUAAGGUGAAUUUACUUUGUGAGAAGACACUGAACAGGGAGAAGGGGGUCAGUGCAAAAAGAAUGUACCUACCACCCUGAAUUUGGCAUAGCAGUCAAGAAAGGGGAGGAGAUAACAAUAAUAAAAAGAACUUUUGAAGCAUAAAGCA